RNAcentral lists this ribosomal RNA (497 nucleotides) under uncultured bacterium. Its description in RNAcentral is "partial 16S ribosomal RNA". It matches the Rfam family "Bacterial small subunit ribosomal RNA", at positions 28 to 507 of the family's 1533-position model. The record is from RNAcentral.
GAUGAACGCUGGCGGCGUGCCUAAUACAUGCAAGUCGAGCGAACAGAUAAGGAGCUUGCUCCUUUGACGUUAGCGGCGGACGGGUGAGUAACACGUGGAUAACCUACCUAUAAGACUGGGAUAACUUCGGGAAACCGGAGAUAAUACCAGAUAACAUAUUGAACCGCAUGGUUCAAUAGUGAAAGGCGGCUUUGCUGUCACUUAUAGAUGGAUCCGCGCCGUAUUAGCUAGUUGGUAAGGUAACGGCUUACCAAGGCAACGAUCCGUAGCCGACCUGAGAGGGUGAUCAGCCACACUGGAACUGAGACACGGUCCAGACUCCUACGGGAGGCAGCAGUAGGGAAUAUUCCGCAAUGGGCGCAAGCCUGAUGCAGCCACACCGCGUGGGUGAUGAAGGCCUUCGGAUUGUAAAACCCUUUUGUUAGGAAAGAAAAACAGAGGAAUAAACCGCGGCGAUCCUGACGGUACCCGAUGAGAAAGCAACGGCUAACUACGUG